Molecule: long non-coding RNA, 635 nt
Filed under: Numida meleagris (helmeted guineafowl)
Lineage: Eukaryota; Metazoa; Chordata; Aves; Galliformes; Numididae
Description: lncRNA (ENSNMEG00000000908.1)
Source: RNAcentral
CCACAAACCACCCCCCAGGUCCUCCGAGCCACCGGGGGGCGCCACCGGCCCCUUCACCCAUCCGCCCACUUCCGCCCGGAAGCUGCUCCACCCUCAUUGGACAGGGCGGGGGCCAAUGGGAGCGCGGGGCUUCGAGCCACGCCCCCCCCCCCCCCCGCGGCGCUGCGGCGCGCUUUAUUCCGCCACGUGACCGCCGUACACCCGCGCCGAGCGCAAGCCACGCCCCCCUCAAGCCACGCCCCCCUCUGGAGCAAGCCACGCCCACCUCCCGUUCCAGCGGGGCCCUCAUUAGAGCAGGUUCUCAUUAGGGCAGGAUCCCAUUAGGGCCAGUUCCCGUGCCCCAUAAGAGCAGGUUUCCCAUUAGGACCGCUUCCCAUGUCCCAUCCCGGCCCCAUUAGGGCAGGUUUCCAUACAGAACCAGUUCAAGUGUUCUGUACUGUCCCCAUUAGAGCAGGUUCCCCAGUUAGAACCAGUUCCCCUGCUCCAUCCUGGCCCCAUUGGGUCCAGUUCCUGUGCCCCAUCCCAGCAGGUCCCAGUUAGAACCAGUUCCCGUGCUCCAUCCCAGCAGGUCCCAGUCAGAACCAGUUCCCGUGCUCCAUCCUGGCCCCAUUAGGGCAGGUUCCCAUUAGGACCAG